Molecule: non-coding RNA, 111 nt
Organism: Acanthosepion pharaonis
Lineage: Eukaryota; Metazoa; Mollusca; Cephalopoda; Sepiida; Sepiidae
Source: the annotation of a GenBank genome assembly
AUGGCUAUAUCACGGUAAACACCGGUUUUAGUACGAUCACCGAAGUUAAGCAACGUCGAGCCUGGUCAGUAACUAGAUGGGUGACCGGUUGCGAAUACUAGGUGCUGUAAG